GACCAGACUCCUACGGGAGGCAGCAGUGGGGAAUAUUGCACAAUGGGGGAAACCCUGAUGCAGCGACGCCGCGUGAGUGAAGAAGUAUUUCGGUAUGUAAAGCUCUAUCAGCAGGGAAGAUAAUGACGGUACCUGAGUAAGAAGCCCCGGCUAACUACGUGCCAGCAGCCGCGGUAAUACGUAGGGGGCAAGCGUUAUCCGGAUUUACUGGGUGUAAAGGGAGCGUAGACGGCAUGGCAAGUCUGAAGUGAAAGCCCGGGGCUCAACCGCGGGACUGCUUUGGAAACUGUUAAGCUGGAGUGCAGGAGAGGUAAGUGGAAUUCCUAGUGUAGCGGUGAAAUGCGUAGAUAUCAGGAGGAACACCGGUGGCGAAGGCGGCUUACUGGACCAUAACUGACGUUGAGGCUCGAAAGCGUGGGGAGCGAACAGGAUUAGAUACCCCAGUA
RNAcentral lists this ribosomal RNA (446 nucleotides) under uncultured bacterium. RNAcentral describes it as "bacterial SSU rRNA". It matches the Rfam family "Bacterial small subunit ribosomal RNA", at positions 329 to 792 of the family's 1533-position model. The record is from RNAcentral.